GACGAACGCUGGCGGCGUGCCUAAUACAUGCAAGUCGAGCGGACGAAUCGAAAGCUUGCUUUUGAUUCGUUAGCGGCGGACGGGUGAGUAACACGUGGGCAACCUGCUCUGUAGACGGGGAUAACACCGAGAAAUCGGUGCUAAUACCGGAUAACACGAAAUGUCGCAUGACGUUUCGUUGAAAGACGGCGCAAGCUGUCGCUACAGGAUGGGCCCGCGGGGCAGGGGCUAGUUGGGGGGGUAACGGCUCUCCAAGGCGACGAUGCGUAGCCGACCUGAGAGGGUGAUCGGCCACCCUGGGAGUGGAACACGGACCAGACUCCUACGGGAGGCAGCAGUAAGGAAUCGUACGCAAUGGACGAAAGUCUGACGGAGCAACGCCGCGUGAGCGAAGAAGGCCUUCGGGUCGUAAAGAUCGGUUGUGAGGGAAGAACAGGUAACGCAGUAACUGGAGUUACCGUGACGGUACCUAACGAGAAAGCCACGGCUAACUACGUG
Molecule: ribosomal RNA, 498 nt
Filed under: uncultured bacterium
Lineage: Bacteria
Description: partial 16S ribosomal RNA
Rfam family: Bacterial small subunit ribosomal RNA
Source: RNAcentral